This 485-nucleotide ribosomal RNA is filed under the name uncultured bacterium. Its description in RNAcentral is "bacterial SSU rRNA". It matches the Rfam family "Bacterial small subunit ribosomal RNA", at positions 39 to 518 of the family's 1533-position model. The record is from RNAcentral.
AGCGACAGGCCUAACACAUGCAAGUCAGGGGCAGCACAAGGAGCAAUCUGAGGUGGCGACCGGCGCACGGGUGAGUAACACGUAUGCAACCUGCCUGUAAGCGGGGAAUAACCCGUUGAAAGACGGACUAAUACCGCAUAAUACUAAAUUACUGCAUGGUAAUUUAUUUAAACAUUUAUGGCUUACAGAUGGGCAUGCGCAUGAUUAGCUAGUUGGAGAGGUAACGGCUCCCCAAGGCAACGAUCAUUAGGGGUUCUGAGAGGAAGGUCCCCCACACUGGUACUGAGACACGGACCAGACUCCUACGGGAGGCAGCAGUGAGGAAUAUUGGUCAAUGGACGAGAGUCUGAACCAGCCAAGUCGCGUGCAGGAAGAAUGUCCCUAUGGAUUGUAAACUGCUUUUGCAGGGGAAUAAAGUGCAUCACGUGUGAUGUUUUGUAUGUACUCUGCGAAUAAGGAUCGGCUAACUCCGUGCCAGCAGCCGC